Molecule: ribosomal RNA, 858 nt
Filed under: uncultured Actinomycetes bacterium
Lineage: Bacteria; Bacillati; Actinomycetota; Actinomycetes
Description: bacterial SSU rRNA
Rfam family: Bacterial small subunit ribosomal RNA
Source: RNAcentral
GACGAACGCUGGCGGCGUGCUUAACACAUGCAAGUCGAACGGAAAGGCCUGCAGCUUGCUGCGGGUACUCGAGUGGCGAACGGGUGAGUAACACGUGGGUGAUCUGCCUUGCACUUCGGGAUAAGCUUGGGAAACUGGGUCUAAUACCGGAUAGGACAGCUGUUUAGUGUCAGUUGUGGAAAGUUUUUUCGGCGCAAGAUGAGCUCGCGGCCUAUCAGCUUGUUGGUGGGGUAAUGGCCUACCAAGGCGUCGACGGGUAGCCGGCCUGAGAGGGUGUACGGCCACAUUGGGACUGAGAUACGGCCCAGACUCCUACGGGAGGCAGCAGUGGGGAAUAUUGCACAAUGGGCGGAAGCCUGAUGCAGCGACGCCGCGUGGGGGAUGAAGGCCUUCGGGUUGUAAACUCCUUUCGACAGGGACGAAGCGUAAGUGACGGUACCUGUAUAAGAAGCACCGGCUAACUACGUGCCAGCAGCCGCGGUAAUACGUAGGGUGCGAGCGUUGUCCGGAAUUACUGGGCGUAAAGAGCUCGUAGGUGGUUUGUCGCGUCGUCUGUGAAAUUCCGGGGCUUAACCCCGGGCGUGCAGGCGAUACGGGCUGACUUGAGUGCUGUAGGGGAGACUGGAAUUCCUGGUGUAGCGGUGAAAUGCGCAGAUAUCAGGAGGAACACCGAUGGCGAAGGCAGGUCUCUGGGCAGUAACUGACGCUGAGGAGCGAAAGCAUGGGUAGCGAACAGGAUUAGAUACCCUGGUAGUCCAUGCCGUAAACGGUGGGCGCUAGGUGUAGGGGGCUUCCACGUCUUCUGUGCCGUAGCUAACGCAUUAAGCGCCCCGCCUGGGGAGUACGGCCGCAAGGCUA